RNAcentral lists this long non-coding RNA (2327 nucleotides) under Gossypium barbadense (sea-island cotton). Its description in RNAcentral is "long non-coding RNA (GBAR_LNC016195)". Lineage: Eukaryota; Viridiplantae; Streptophyta; Magnoliopsida; Malvales; Malvaceae. The record is from RNAcentral.
AAAAGCUGGAGAUCAGUUUGUGGCAAAGUAAUUGGUUUUCUAAUAAGAUUCAUUUACUGUAUGAAGGAAUAUGUACCCCAAUUUUGUAGCUCUUGUUGGUGUUUCAUAGUUUUGCUGCUGUGGCUGGCUUAGCUGGAGGUGGACAGGCACAUGUACGUCCUCCCCAAUGCUUUGACCAUUUGUGACUACCAAUUCUUUGUUUGCACCAUUGACAUCCCUUGUUCCGUAAACCUGGAUGAGAAACUUUUCUGUUAAGGUUGGUUUUUAGACAUCUCAUAGAUGACAAAUGUUAAUGGCCGAAUCUUUUUAAUAUCUCUAGGAUAAUUUAUAUUGUUAUGAGUCAUUCAAAUUUAUACCUUCUUAUAUAAUUCUGUGUUUUCUUGACGAAUUAGGUUUACCUUCUUAUAGAGUUCCAUAUUUUCUUGAUGAAUGAGAUUACCCUGCAACAAGACAAUGCAAUUUAGGCACUUUGAGCUAAUUCAGUAUGAUAGUAAGUAGUUGAAUGUAUCAUUUCAGGGUUUACCUUUCUGGUCAGUUCUUGAAUUUCAUCCAUUAACAUUUGGUCCUACAGCAGUGGAGUAAAUGUUACCAAACGGCGUUUGCUUUAUUUGGCAUGCUAUUUUGAACUUAAAAACUGACGUGCCAUGGAAAUAGAAUUUUCAAACCUUCUUCAUACGGACACCAUGAAGGCUCAUUUCCAACUGGCUCUCCAAAUUCUGUAAAUCUUUUACGGUCAAUCCAGAAAGUUCCUCACCCAUCAUUUGCCUGUUUUGACGUGCAGGAGCAUAAUUUCAGUAAACAGGAUUUGUUUCGUAGACAAUAAAGCUUUUCAUAGGCAUACACAGGAGAUGCAAUGGACCUUUUAUUUCUUGUCUAUUAUUGGGGCCAUUUUUACUGUUGGUUCAUUCAAUGCUUUAAGGUUAGAUAUGGAUCUGCCUUUUUUAGAACAGAAGUUCAUGUCUAGGACCAUCAGUCUGUGUGUUAUUGAAGAACAAUUGAUUCAUUCAAUCUGAUCUUCAAAGAUAUGAACCAUAGCAUAAAGGAUAGAACAUCCUAAGCAUAAUUGCAUCAUAAAAGGCUGGAACAGUGUUACAACAGGUUGAAGGAGAAAGCUAUUUUGCUAUUCAUGUAAUUGGUUGAAAUGCAGGAGACUGUCUAUGUUGAAUUGAAUCAUGGGCAUAUUUUUUGUGUUCUGCAGAUUGCAUAAUGUAAAAUUGGUUUCUUGAUUCUGCAUUUUUGGCUUAAUGUACUCUUAUUCACGUUUGAUAUAGUGAUUUAUAUGGUAUAAAAAUUAAAAUACCUGUGAUUUUCUUGCAGGUUUUGCAGUUGUUGUCUAAGAACUGCUGCCUCCCUUUGCCAUAACUGAAAAAUAAGAUUUUGCAGUUGUUGAUACAAUGGUACGAUUCAGUCACAGAAUUUAUUGCUCAAAGUUUGAAUGUGCAUAUUAAUAAAUUCAACAAUGAAACAUUACCAUAACAAUGCAUAUUUUUAGACCUGACACUGCUAUAGAUGUAAGGUAAUUCACAAAAGAAUCAAACACAUUUAGGUCCAAGGCUCUUGCUAGAUUCUUUUUUAAAUCUUGUAAAGGAAGUUGUUUUAUGUAUUAAAUUAAUGAGUUAGUCAAACCAGGAUUUUGAUACUUUAAUUAUUUGGAUGAUAAGUCACUUAUCAUGUCCUUGGUGUACUUGUCAAAGUUAUGCACACUAUCAGCUACUUAGUUCUUUCUCUGGAUGCUUGAUUCAUUUUUUGAAUCCUUAUCAAGCAACUUAGCUAGUAAAAUUAGGCUGUUAGGGCCAGCUUUUCAAAAUCCCAUGGGAAAUUUAUAUCAACUGAGAGUCUGACAGAUGCUGUUUAUUGUAGAAAUUGCAAAUUGCAAAAAUUGUUCUUGAAGUAAUAGAGCUUCUAUUUGGAGAUCAGAGAAUGCUUUUGGCUUAUAUCACUGGUAAAAAGUUUUAAGGCAUAUAAAAGAGAUGGAAAAAUGAAUGCAAAAGUAGAUAGAUCAUAGAUGAGUCUCUGGAUUGAUCUAGAAGCAGUAAAAUGUUUAAAGGCAUAAACGAGAUGGAGAUAUGAAUGUGAAAGUAGAUAGAUCAUGGAUGAGUCUCUGGAUUUGAUCUAGAUUCAAGAAAUACAAGAUAUAUUUACCCUUGGAGUAUGCUGUUGAUUUGGAGCUGUUUGUUGAUAUGAAUUAUUGGAUUAAGCUUUUGCAUUUUUUGAUACAUAAAAGAGAUGAAGAUAUAUCUUCUCAAGAAAAUUGUGAGAUCUCUAGGCAAAGGGGUAAGGAUUAUCCUACUUUAUAACGUUAACUGUUUGUUGAAUGCUAAUUAUAG